Molecule: RNA transcript, 1272 nt
Organism: Lathyrus oleraceus (garden pea)
Lineage: Eukaryota; Viridiplantae; Streptophyta; Magnoliopsida; Fabales; Fabaceae
Exons: 5
Source: RefSeq, a predicted model, not a curated record
UCCCACUCUUAAACCUCGGGCAGGGUAUAGCGGUAAAAAAAGGCUACGGCGGAGGAGGGAGGGGGCGGAAAGAAGUGAAUGGAGAAAUGGUUGGGAGCGGAGCGCCUGAUUUCUUCUACAAAGAGGCUCAACGCCUCGGCUACGUUGCUCGCUCGGCGUUCAAAUUGGCUCAGAUACAGAGACAGCAUAAAUUAAUCAAACCCGGUUCUUCCGUUCUCGACUUGGGCUGCGCUCCCGGUUCAUGGCUUCAGGUCGCUUGUCAGAGCUUGGGCCCAUUCCACAACGGUGGCUCCGUUCUCGGCAUCGACCAUAAGAAAGUUAAAGUCCCUCCUCUUCAUUGUGAUUCCAGGGUUCAAACUAUUUCAGCUGAUGUCAUGACCCUCCCUAAACACCAACUCAGAGACCUUUCUCCUAAGCAAAAAGGAUUUUCUGUAAUACUCUCGGACAUGUGUCCAUUGGUUUCUGGAAUCACGACUAAAGAUGCUGCUUUGUCAUUUGAGCUAGGGAUGCGAGCGAUAGAUUUGGCUGUUGGCAGGGUUGCUUCUGUUUGUAAUUCUGAUGCUGAUAAUCGGGACGAGGAGCCAUGUGAUGAUCUGUCAAGUUCAGAUGACAGAGGAGUGUUGCGAGUUGGAGGCCAUCUUGUUAUCAAGCUUUUGGAAAGUGAAGACGCCAAAGAAAUAAACCAAAUUUGUAAACCAUUGUUUGCGAAGUCGUCGUGGUUGAGACCUAAAGCCACUAGACCUUCAUCGAGAGAGAUCUAUUUGAUAUGUCAAGGUUUAAAGCCGGAAAUCAAGAUAUAGGUUGUUUCAUGUGGUUUGUCCUGAUGAAUGUUUUGUGUGAGCAGAAUACAAAUUCAUGAACACUGUUUUCUCUGUUUCUAAGCUCAAGUGAGCUUCAAUUCAAGCUCAUUUUUGGAUUUUACAGGAACUUCUUAUUCAGAUUAUGGGUACACAAGUGAAGUGAUGAUUUCACCAUCGAUGGAGAUUUUCUAGAACUUGAUCUAUUUUAUUUUACGAGAUCGAGCUCAACUGUCUUGAAGUUCUAGAGAAAAAAAAAACAGAUUUUAACUACAUAAUAGUAGUUUUUACUUAUUUAUUAUGUUAUUUUUAAUAUUUAUUUGAAAAAAAUAGUAUUUAAGAUCUUUGAUGACAUGAUUUUAUUGAGGUGAGUAUAAUGAAGAAGGUGAUGAGUAAAGAUAAGAUAUGGAUGAAGAUAAUGAUGAUUAAUUGUUAAAAUUGUUUUAUCAAAAUUAGUUGGUUGUAUAAUUGUUUA